AGUGUACAUGAAUAAAUCUUUUCCCAAAGGUGAAUAAACAUAUGGUUUCCUUAUAGGUCGAUACGUAUGCAGUAUGAAUCGGACAGUGAACAACAUAGCGACAUCACUGAACUAUAUUGAUGGAACAAACUGUGGGAAUACCGACCCAAACCAUAUAUCUAAGUGUUAUCAGGGGCUCUGUAAGGUGAGUGUCUCCUUGAAGUUACGCUAAAUUAAAAAUGAAACGUAAUCGGAAAUCAAAUUAAUGAGACUUAAUGGCGAUAAUAGCAGAAACAUAUCGGUACACUCGUAAGACACCAGGAGCGUACUAUAAAGGUUGUUCAUUUGAUUUUUCAGAUUAUCAAGGUGUUGAUCAAAGCGUGAAGUGUUUCAAUUUAUCAAAUAGAAAUGAAAAAGUACAACUUAAACAGUAUUUUACAACUGGAAUUCGGUUACUAGUGAUAUCAGUGAACUGAUUUGGUGUCGUUUAAAGUAUUUUCGGUGGACACACCAGAUCUCUUCUCGUACAUUCACUGAAAGACCAAUAUACAUAGAACACAUAAACGAUAGAGGCUUAGUUAAUUUGAUGUUCUUACUGCAAUUGUAUGUAUUUUAGUGUUCAUCGUAUUAAGAUUAUUAUAGAGCUCUGCUCUCAAUCAUAAUUGCUCUAUGUUGGACUAACUUAACAGUUUUACAGUAAAAAAAAAUGCGAGAGCGCCAAUUCAUCAUUGCGCUUAUGUGAUAAAAGUUGCUAUUGCGCCAAAUGUUUUGUGCGCCAAAAUUAGUACAUUUAAAGUAUUUAUUAAAAUGUUGCAUAACAGAUUUUUGGAUGUGAUGGUUUUCUGGAGUCGUCCUCGGCGUUUGAUGUAUGUGGAGUGUGCAACGGAAACGGUACACAAUGUCGUCGCGUAGACAGGAUGUUAGAAUUCCGUCCACAGAACGACAACAUAGGCAAAAACGUGUCAUUUAAAAUACCAGCACAAUCAACGGGAAUUGUUAUACGAAAUAAUAACAGGAAUAUUGUCAAACUGAAAUGUGACCGGGUACCAGUGGGGGAC
Long non-coding RNA from Pecten maximus, 1037 nucleotides. RefSeq lists it as uncharacterized. The record is from RefSeq and is a predicted model, not a curated record. The transcript has 3 exons. NCBI's taxonomy places the organism in Eukaryota, Metazoa, Mollusca, Bivalvia, Pectinida, Pectinidae.